RNAcentral lists this ribosomal RNA (468 nucleotides) under uncultured bacterium. Its description in RNAcentral is "partial 16S ribosomal RNA". It matches the Rfam family "Bacterial small subunit ribosomal RNA", at positions 28 to 507 of the family's 1533-position model. The record is from RNAcentral.
GACGAACGCUGGCGGCGUGCUUAACACAUGCAAGUCGAACGGAAAGGCCCUGCUUUUGUGGGGUGCUCGAGUGGCGAACGGGUGAGUAACACGUGAGUAACCUGCCCUUGACUUUGGGAUAACUUCAGGAAACUGGGGCUAAUACCGGAUAGGAGCUCCUGCUGCAUGGUGGGGGUUGGAAAGUUUCGGCGGUUGGGGAUGGACUCGCGGCUUAUCAGCUUGUUGGUGGGGUAGUGGCUUACCAAGGCUUUGACGGGUAGCCGGCCUGAGAGGGGGACCGGCCACAUGGGGACUGAGAUACGGCCCAGUCGCCUACGGGAGGCAGCAGUGGGGAGUAUUGCGCAAUGGGCGGAAGCCUGAUGCAGCAACGCCGCGUGCGGGAUGACGUCCUUCGAGUUGUAAACCGCUUUCGCCUGUGACGAAGCGUGAGUGACGGUAAUGGGUAAAGAAGCACCGGCUAACUACGUG